UUUUAACCUCUGUUUUUUGACUGAGGUCAAAUUUAACAUCUGUUCUUAUCAGUUAAAUAUCUCCCACAUCCUUGACUUGAAGAUGUCAUAUUAAACAGAUUUUUUGGGACUGAAAUGUGGGCUAGAACUUCUUCCAUAGCUCCCAUACAUCUGCCUGUUAUUGCAGUGUCUCCAGGAGCAGCACACCAA
Anser brachyrhynchus (Pink-footed goose) is the source of this 189-nucleotide small nuclear RNA. Its record names the gene U2. It matches the Rfam family "U2 spliceosomal RNA". From Rfam's summary of the family: U2 is a small nuclear RNA (snRNA) component of the spliceosome (involved in pre-mRNA splicing). Complementary binding between U2 snRNA (in an area lying towards the 5' end but 3' to hairpin I) and the branchpoint sequence (BPS) of the intron results the bulging out of an unpaired adenosine, on the BPS, which initiates a nucleophilic attack at the intronic 5' splice site, thus starting the first of two transesterification reactions that mediate splicing. NCBI's taxonomy places the organism in Eukaryota, Metazoa, Chordata, Aves, Anseriformes, Anatidae. The record is from Ensembl.